Molecule: long non-coding RNA, 770 nt
Filed under: Mus musculus (house mouse)
Lineage: Eukaryota; Metazoa; Chordata; Mammalia; Rodentia; Muridae
Description: ilncRNA-EC28
Source: RNAcentral
AUCCUCUCAUACACUUCAUACUUCGAUAACAGGACAAGGCUCCACGCGGGAGCAAACUUACCUCCAUCAGAGGCCAGGAGAGAUGCGGUCCUCUCAGUACAUACUCCUCGGUGUGCCUCAGCGCUUACAGGUUUGCUCCACCUGACAAUAGCCCCACCUUAUGUACCCAGCCUUUCAUUAAGUGGUAUGUCAUUCUCAAACUGUAGCAUACUCAUUGGAUAAAGUUAGAAAACAAAAUGAGCUGCGUGUGUAUUUCAGUGGCCGAAUCCUUUAGUGUGGAUAGGUCCCUGAGUUCCAUCUACCACAUUGCCCAAAAUAGAACCACACUCCAGCCCCUCAGAGGCUGCUGCUGUUGCCACAGUGUAUGUGUGUGUGUCAUUCCUGAUAUUUACUGUGUAUAAAUAGGCACUUAAGCUCUUUAAAGUAAAAAAUGGAAUUAUGAUAUAAAUUGCUUUAAUCAAUUUAUGACUCUACUUACCAUAUUCCAUAGCAUGCAAUGCUGUCACUAUCCAGGUUUUCAUUCUAGAAUGUGCUUUCCCAGGGGCUUUCUUCCAGUGAAGACCACCUGCACACUGAAUCCAGUCUCUUUGCAUCUGCCACACUUGUUCCUUACACUUUUAAUUCUCCUUGACAUUGUUGACAUUUUUAAAUAAAGCUUUUAUAUCAGCCUUAAAUAGAUUUGAUGGAAUAAGAAAUAUAGCAAUUUGAUAUGUCAUACAGCUCACUUUAGAAUAUAACUUCCGAGUCAAAAAUUCCAUUUUAGUCUCUCC